CGCAUCUGUGCAUGCAGCAUAUCAAUAAGCGGAGGAAAAGAAACUAACAAGGAUUCCCUUAGUAACGGCGAUGUGAAGCGGGAAGAGCUCAAAUUUGAAAUCUUCAAGGUUUUACCUUGACGAAUUGUAGUUUAAAGAAGUGUUUUCUGUUGAAGUUUUGGUAAAAGUUCUUUGGAAUAGGACAUCAUAGAGGGUGAGAAUCCCGUAUUUGACCAUUAUUUUCAGCUGUGUGAUACACUUUCAAAGAGUCGGAUUGUUUGGGAAUGCAGUCCAAAAUGGGUGGUAAAUUUCAUCUAAAGCUAAAUAUUGGCGAGAGACCGAUAGCGAACAAGUACCGUGAGGGAAAGAUGAAAAGAACUUUGAAAAGAGAGUUAAACAGUACGUGAAAUUGUCAAAAGGGAAGCGUUUGACACCAGUGUUGUUUUCUCGAAAAUCAAUUAAAAAGAGUUAGAUUUUGUUGUGUAUUGACCUUAACAGCUUGCAUUUCAAUUUUCUUGCUUUUUUUAGUGCACUUUUCGUUUAACAAGUCAACAUCAGUUUCUUUUGUUGUAAAAAGGUCAUUGGAAGGUGGCUUUCUUUUCGGAGAAAGUGUUUAUAGCCUUUGACUCCUGCAAUCGGAGAGACUGAGGUCUGCAGCGUAGAUCCUUCGGGGUUAGAUACAUUUGUGCUAAGUUAUAGCUUUUUAUAGACAACUUGUUGACUAUGAUUAGUCUUGUAGCUUACUCGCUUAUGCUAUUUUACCUACGCUUAGGAUGUUGACACACGCGCGUGCUC
This 774-nucleotide ribosomal RNA is filed under the name uncultured Neocallimastigales. RNAcentral describes it as "partial large subunit ribosomal RNA". It matches the Rfam family "Eukaryotic large subunit ribosomal RNA", at positions 26 to 608 of the family's 3401-position model. The record is from RNAcentral. Lineage: Eukaryota; Fungi; Neocallimastigomycota; Neocallimastigomycetes; Neocallimastigales.